GUGCUUGUAGUUCAACGGUUAGAAUGUCAGAUUGUGGUUCUGAAGACGUGGUUUCGACUACCACCUUGCACCC
RNAcentral lists this transfer RNA (73 nucleotides) under Caudoviricetes sp. RNAcentral describes it as "tRNA-His". It matches the Rfam family "tRNA". From Rfam's summary of the family: Transfer RNA (tRNA) molecules are approximately 80 nucleotides in length. Their secondary structure includes four short double-helical elements and three loops (D, anti-codon, and T loops). Lineage: Duplodnaviria; Heunggongvirae; Uroviricota; Caudoviricetes. The record is from RNAcentral.